GACGAACGCUGGCGGCGUGCCUAAUACAUGCAAGUUGAGCGCUGAAGGUUGGUACUUGUACCAACUGGAUGAGCAGCGAACGGGUGAGUAACGCGUGGGGAAUCUGCCUUUGAGCGGGGGACAACAUUUGGAAACGAAUGCUAAUACCGCAUAAAAACUUUAAACACAAGUUUUAAGUUUGAAAGAUGCAACUGCAUCACUCAAAGAUGAUCCCGCGUUGUAUUAGCUAGUUGGUGAGGUAAAGGCUCACCAAGGCGAUGAUACAUAGCCGACCUGAGAGGGUGAUCGGCCACAUUGGGACUGAGACACGGCCCAAACUCCUACGGGAGGCAGCAGUAGGGAAUCUUCGGCAAUGGACGAAAGUCUGACCGAGCAACGCCGCGGGAGUGAAGAAGGUUUUCGGAUCGUAAAACUCUGUUGGUAGAGAAGAACGUUGGUGAGAGUGGAAAGCUCAUCAAGUGACGGUAACUACCCAGAAAGGGACGGCUAACUACGUG
This 497-nucleotide ribosomal RNA is filed under the name uncultured bacterium. Its description in RNAcentral is "partial 16S ribosomal RNA". It matches the Rfam family "Bacterial small subunit ribosomal RNA", at positions 28 to 507 of the family's 1533-position model. The record is from RNAcentral.